GACGAACGCUGGCGGCGUGCUUAACACAUGCAAGUCGAACGAUGAAGCCGGAGCUUGCUCUGGUGAAUUAGUGGCGAACGGGUGAGUAACACGUGAGUAACCUGCCCUUGACUCUGGGAUAACUGCUAGAAAUGGCAGCUAAUACCGGAUACGACCCUCGGAGGCAUCCCCAGGGGGUGGAAAGAAUUUCGGUCAAGGAUGGACUCGCGGCCUAUCAGCUAGGUGGUGAGGGAACGGCUCACCAAGGCGACGACGGGUAGCCGGCCUGAGAGGGUGACCGGCCACACUGGGACUGAGACACGGCCCAGACUCCUACGGGAGGCAGCAGUGGGGAAUAUUGCACAAUGGGCGCAAGCCUGAUGCAGCGACGCCGCGUGAGGGAUGACGGCCUUCGGGUUGUAAACCUCUUUUAGUAGGGAAGAAGCGAAAGUGACGGUACCUGCAGAAAAAGCACCGGCUAACUACGUGCCAGCAGCCGCCGUAA
RNAcentral lists this ribosomal RNA (484 nucleotides) under uncultured bacterium. RNAcentral's name for it is "partial 16S ribosomal RNA". It matches the Rfam family "Bacterial small subunit ribosomal RNA", at positions 28 to 523 of the family's 1533-position model. The record is from RNAcentral.